UGAGGAAUAUUGGUCAAUGGACGCGAGUCUGAACCAGCCAAGUAGCGUGAAGGAUGACUGCCCUAUGGGUUGUAAACUUCUUUUAUAUGGGAAUAAAGUGGUCCACGUGUGGACUUUUGUAUGUACCAUAUGAAUAAGCAUCGGCUAACUCCGUGCCAGCAGCCGCGGUAAUACGGAGGAUGCGAGCGUUAUCCGGAUUUAUUGGGUUUAAAGGGAGCGUAGACGGGCCGUUAAGUCAGCUGUGAAAGUUUGAGGCUCAACCUUAAAAUUGCAGUUGAUACUGGCGUCCUUGAGUACGGUUGAGGCAGGCGGAAUUCGUGGUGUAGCGGUGAAAUGCUUAGAUAUCACGAAGAACCCCGAUUGCGAAGGCAGCCUGCUAAACCGCCACUGACGUUGAGGCUCGAAAGUGUGGGUAUCAAACAGGAUUAGAUACCCUGGUAGUCCACACGGUAAACGAUGGAUACUCGCUGUUGGCGAUAGACUGUCAGCGGCUUAGCGAAAGCGUUAAGUAUCCCACCUGGGGAGUACGCCGGCAACGGUGAAACUCAAAGGAAUUGACGGGGGCCCGCACAAGCGGAGGAACAUGUGGUUUAAUUCGAUGAUACGCGAGGAACCUUACCCGGGCUUGAAUUGCAGACGAAUUGCUUGGAAACAGGCAAGCCGCAAGGCGUCUGUGAAGGUGCUGCAUGGUUGUCGUCAGCUCGUGCCGUGAGGUGUCGGCUUAAGUACCAUAACGAGCGCAACCCUCGUGUCCAGUUACUAGCAGGUUAUGCUGAGGACUCUGGACAGACUGCCAUCGUAAGAUGUGAGGAAGGUGGGGAUGACGUCAAAUCAGCACGGCCCUUACGUCCGGGGCUACACACGUGUUACAAUGGGGGGUACAGCAGGCAGCUACCGGGCGACCGGAUGCCAAUCCCGAAAGCCUCUCUCAGUUCGGACUGGAGUCUGCAACCCGACUCCACGAAGCUGGAUUCGCUAGUAAUCGCGCAUCAGCCACGGCGCGGUGAAUACGUUCCC
Molecule: ribosomal RNA, 1017 nt
Filed under: uncultured bacterium
Lineage: Bacteria
Description: bacterial SSU rRNA
Rfam family: Bacterial small subunit ribosomal RNA
Source: RNAcentral